UGGCUGUCGUCAGCUCGUGUCGUGAGAUGUUGGGUUAAGUCCCGCAACGAGCGCAACCCUUGUCAUUAGUUGCUACAUUUAGUUGGGCACUCUAAUGAGACUGCCGGUGACAAACCGGAGGAAGGUGGGGAUGACGUCAAGUCCUCAUGGCCCUUAUAGGUAGGGCUACACACGUCAUACAAUGGAUGGUACAAAGGGUCGCCAACCCGCGAGGGGGAGCCAAUCCCAUAAAGCCAUUCGUAGUCCGGAGGGGCAGUCUGCAACUCGACUGCGUGAAGUCGGAAUCGCUAGUAAUCGUGG
RNAcentral lists this ribosomal RNA (300 nucleotides) under uncultured bacterium. RNAcentral describes it as "bacterial SSU rRNA". It matches the Rfam family "Bacterial small subunit ribosomal RNA", at positions 1046 to 1347 of the family's 1533-position model. The record is from RNAcentral.